Long non-coding RNA from Daphnia pulicaria, 285 nucleotides. RefSeq lists it as uncharacterized. The record is from RefSeq and is a predicted model, not a curated record. Lineage: Eukaryota; Metazoa; Arthropoda; Branchiopoda; Diplostraca; Daphniidae. The transcript has 3 exons.
UCUACGUUUUAACCAAGACACUAGAACUUUUUCAUUCGAGCAGGUGAUGUGGUGCUGAACGGUCUACUCUUUGCAGCACUUGACGAAUUCUACCAGCUAUUCGCACCCAAGAAAAUUACUUAUCACGCUGAGACUAAGAGUUUUUAAGUCAACUUAUUUUUAAUAACUAGCUUAUUGAAGCAAGAAAUGGAUUCACGCCAGUUUGCCAUUUUAGUUUUGGCCAUCUUUAUCUCAACUUUGGCGCUGGCACUUGGAGUUGGAGAAACAAACAAAACUGUAGUGGGA